AUUGAACGCUGGCGGCAGGCCUAACACAUGCAAGUCGAGCGAGCGGCGGACGGGUGAGUAAUGUCUGGGAAACUGCCUGAUGGAGGGGGAUAACUACUGGAAACGGUAGCUAAUACCGCAUACCAUCAGCUGUGCCCAGAUGGGAUUAGCUAGGUGGUGGGGUAAAGGCCUACCAAGGCGACGAUCCGUAACUGGUCUGUGAGGAUGAUCAGCCACACUGGAACUCAGACACAGUCCGAAGUCCUACAGGAGGCAGUAUUGGGGAAUAUUAGACGAUGGGCCACAUCCUGAUCCAGCCAUGCCGCGUGUGUGAAGCAGGUCUUCGGAUUGUCCAGCACUUUAAGUUGGGAGGCGUUACCAACAGAAUAGGCACCGGCUAACUUCGUGCCAGCAGCCGCGGUAAUAC
RNAcentral lists this ribosomal RNA (406 nucleotides) under uncultured bacterium. RNAcentral's name for it is "partial 16S ribosomal RNA". It matches the Rfam family "Bacterial small subunit ribosomal RNA", at positions 30 to 526 of the family's 1533-position model. The record is from RNAcentral.